Molecule: ribosomal RNA, 1520 nt
Filed under: Triticum aestivum (bread wheat)
Lineage: Eukaryota; Viridiplantae; Streptophyta; Magnoliopsida; Poales; Poaceae
Description: partial small subunit ribosomal RNA
Source: RNAcentral
GUCCGCGACGUGCUUCUCCAACCAUUGGUACGCGACGGUGGUUCGGUCCGGGAGGUGGCUCCUGCAAUCCUGGCGUCGCCGCAGCAGUGGUUCCAUUCCGGCGGCAUCAGGGGAGCACACAACGUCCACGAGCAGCAAGCAGAGCCGGCCAAUCGGCCAAUGAUGCAGCAGCGCUGGCCAUGAGGAGACGCCUGCCGUGGCGGACGCGGAGACAACAACCAUGGGCGUGGAAGACGGUUUUGGAUCCUGUGAGCCGCCGCCGCUGCCUCGUCGUCAAGCAACGUGGGCCUUCUGCUGCUCCAUGUCCAACAAGUCGCCCACGAGGCGUCAGUGUGGCAUUGCUAGAUCCAGCUUCCCCCUGCAAUCGUCUCUGCCGCCAGCACUUGCACGAAAUCGUGCUGGUUUAUGUAGUUCAAGAUCAAAGGCAAGAAUCAGCCAAAUAUGAUGAUGAGAACAAGGCUAAUGAUGGAGAACUUUCAUCUAUCGAAGCUGAGCAGUCUAUUGGGAUACUAAGUUUCAAUGCGCAUCCUAAGUUUCAGUUACCUGAAAUCAAGGCCAGUUUCAGUCGAUGCCGAAGUAAACUACCACAUGUAAGUUUAGGGACACACAUUAGUUUCCUGCUAGGGAUUUAAUGGUUGCCGAACUUUAUGCACAUAUGGCGUAGUAGAGAUGCAUGCUUCGUUAUCCUGCAGUUAUCUGAAUUUUUUCUGACCUGCACUCUUCUUGCCUUUAGUUCUGUUCUUAACAGAAUUAUUACUUACUGACAGACGAAUACUUGUUUUCCUUCAUCAUCUGCAUUUCAAAUGACUCAUUAUGCAUCAGGCUAGCUAGGCAAUAUGAAAUUUUACUUCUUGGCUAUAGUCACCGAGCACUGCAAUUUGAAAUUACAGCCACGAAUUUUGGAUUAGUCGAAAGGGCAUUCUUAAUCUGAUACAGUCAAACGAGCACUGCAAUUUUCAAAACAAGAAGCGGCUGCUACCAUAUUAUUUAUGUUUACAAUCAACAAACUACAUCCUGACAUUCCUUCUUAUUUUUGUUUGCAUUCAAACGUGAUGAACUUGAGAAAAUCCAUGCACUUCAAUUGGACAGGAGUUUUCUGCCACGUAAUCGAUGAUGCACUUCACAUGACAGAAUUGUUUGUUAAAGGAACUUUUUGGCAAGAAAUACACAACCGUGUCAUUCAGUGUUGGACCUAUGUUAUUGGCAAGAAAUACACUAAUGUGUAGCUCACUGCUGAGGUCAGCAAGAGGGGGUACAUGCACAUCUGACACCUUUUUCUCUUCCGGCGCCUUGCUAUUUGCAUUUCCCAUUCGUACCUAUCAUUUUUCAACAGCAUUAGUAUUGAUGUGGUAUGUAUACUGAACAAUUGGCUUGCCAUGUAUUUUUGGUGUUCCAACUUGGAACAUGGGGAAGAAAUGACUACAUUGUAUACAUCUGAUAAACAUUUAUUGUCUUGGGAUGUAUUUUUGGUGUUCGAACUGGGAACAUGGGGCACAUUUAUUCGUAUGGAUCCAUCUGGU